CAGACCUCUAAUCGGAAAAGACUACCCGCU
RNAcentral lists this ribosomal RNA (30 nucleotides) under Antitrichia curtipendula. RNAcentral's name for it is "partial 25S ribosomal RNA". Lineage: Eukaryota; Viridiplantae; Streptophyta; Bryopsida; Hypnales; Leucodontaceae. RNAcentral also lists the same sequence under 10 other names. The record is from RNAcentral.